UACAGAGGUCCCGAGCGUUGGUUCGGAUUCACUGGGUUUAAAGGGUGCGUAGGCGGCUCUUUUAAGUCAGUGGUGAAAUACUGCAGCUCAACUGUAGCAUUGCCAUUGAUACUGAAGAGCUUGAGUACAGAUGAGGUAGGCGGAAUUUAUGGUGUAGCGGUGAAAUGCAUAGAUACCAUAAGAACACCGAUUGCGAAGGCAGCUUACUAGCUGUAACUGACGCUGAGGCACGAAAGCGUGGGGAGCGAACAGG
RNAcentral lists this ribosomal RNA (253 nucleotides) under uncultured bacterium. RNAcentral describes it as "partial 16S ribosomal RNA". It matches the Rfam family "Bacterial small subunit ribosomal RNA", at positions 524 to 776 of the family's 1533-position model. The record is from RNAcentral.